AUAUAUAUAUAAACAAAAAUAAAAAUCAAAAUGCACUCACAGGUCUUCUGGUUAAUAGGAAACCAGAAGACCUGUGAGUGCAUUUUGAUUUUUAUUUUUGUUUAUAU
This is a non-coding RNA of Pelobates cultripes (western spadefoot toad), 107 nucleotides long. Lineage: Eukaryota; Metazoa; Chordata; Amphibia; Anura; Pelobatidae. The record is from the annotation of a GenBank genome assembly.